AGAAAAGAGGGGAACUUUAUUUUCCAUUUCCCCAAAUUUCACGAAGAAACCCCUUCUUUCUUUUUCUUCCUCUUCCAAUCGCACGAUUCCCCUUCUCCAUCGCAUGUCGUCAAUUCCCCAUAGUGCUCUCACACAGGUCGUCGAUUCCCCUCCUCCACUAGGCUCCUCCGCUCGGUGAUAACUCAAGAUGGUUAUUGCGGUGAAGGCUUCUCCGUGAAGUUCCACCCACAGUGAAGGCUUCUCUGUCUGAUGCUUCUUUGCAACGUUCUUUUCUUCACAAUCAUCUCACUCAUAUCAAAACUCUCCUUCAUCCGCCAUCAUCGUGCCCUCUCUCAGCCACUGCCCUCUCACUCUCCAAAUCGCCGGCCAUCUCCUACCUUUGUUGUCAAUGGCGGUCUUUUAGAUUUUCAUUCGAUCCUACUGAGGGUUAAAUGUUGCGUUGUGCAUCUAUACAUGGUAUACACCUAUAUCAGAUCCUGAUGCAAGGGGAUACUUUGAUUUCCUAAUUAAGGUAUAUUUUUCUUCACCAUCUUUUAGAAUUUUCAAAUCAAGAGAAAAAAUAAUUAAUUUGAUCAUGGCAUUCGAGAAGGCUAAAGAGAUUGUGGCUUCUAAUCUCGUCACCAUCUUCAGGUUUCUCUUUUGUUCUUUCUCUUAUAAGUACAUUUUUUCCUAAUAAUUUUUCCUGAUUGCAAAAGUGGUUGGUGUUUUUGUGUUCUUUACAACAAGAGUUAUCGUCCAUUCUGCCGUCCAAGUGAAGAGAUUGUUGACUAAACUAGGAGUCAGUUUGAAGGCUAUUGAAUUGGACACUGAGAAAAAGUUCAACACAAAAAUGUUGUUCAAUUCAUUGGUGCUUGUACUAAACCUCCAAACCUCUGUAUUGUAACAAGUUUGGAAGAAUCUAUUGGAGCAGUGAAGCUAACUUGGAGCAAGUGAUUGAUAUAAGAUUUUUUGUAUGAUUGGUAGCAAAAUCUUGAUUCCAAUGUACUGAUUUUAGGCUUGUUGGUAGAUAAAGAUGUCAAUGUUUAUUCUUUUUUAUUGUAAACUACAUUUUAACACAAAAUGAUUAUUAGUCGAUGGGUAUAUGAAUAUUACAAAGUGAUUUUAGGUGUGUAA
Molecule: long non-coding RNA, 1113 nt
Organism: Cucumis sativus (cucumber)
Lineage: Eukaryota; Viridiplantae; Streptophyta; Magnoliopsida; Cucurbitales; Cucurbitaceae
Exons: 5
Source: RefSeq, a predicted model, not a curated record